AUGGCCCCUCAAGUAGACCUUUCUAUUGCUAAGAUUGGAUAUGAGAUUGAAAAAUUCUUUGGCAGACAGAAAAGUUUUGGCAAUAAUACUAAUCCACCAGCAACUCAAAAUCUUUGCCAGUACAAAUUUUAUCCAAGCUAUGGAGCUACUACUAUUACCAAAAAUGUAGAAGAGCUCACUUGCAAUGAAGCAGCUGCAAAGUUCAUACCAGAAAAGAGAGCAGAUCAGUUGCAUGCUAAAAGCUUGGUUGGACGAUGA
Vicia faba (fava bean) is the source of this 258-nucleotide non-coding RNA. The record is from the annotation of a GenBank genome assembly. Lineage: Eukaryota; Viridiplantae; Streptophyta; Magnoliopsida; Fabales; Fabaceae.